CUCUACAGAGGAGGGACUCAAAUAUUCCUUGGAUUGAACUUUAGUCCAACUGGGGAAGAGGAAUAGAGAUAUAAUGUUUAAUCACCACUGCAUGGGCCAGAACACCCAAGAGAUGGACAGAAAGCCCAGAAGUGGCGUUCAAAAGGAUCUCUCGGGCUGUGCUUUACCUAUCAGACUGGAGAAACCAGGACAUUUGAUUGUUAACUGUUCUGGCUGCUGAGAGAGGAAACAAGCGAUCCAGUUUUACAGCGGAGAGAAAACUGAGGGCAGCACAAAGUCUCUGGAGGAACAUUACCAUUUCAAUAGACAUGCCCUUUGGCCUGGCCUCUCCUAGGAAGCUCCCUGAAGACCAGGAGGUUUCGGAAGCAUCUGGGCUGGAACCCACACAUGAUCGUUGCGUAUCUGCUCAUGACUGUGUCCAUCUAUUCAUUUCAGCGCAGCUUGUAGGAGAAAGUAUGAGUGACAACUUCCAACAGUUGUUGGCAAGCGACUGGCUAUAAAACUGGCACACCCAUUUGGUAAGAAUCUCAGGUAAAUCUAUCAGGGGUUUAAUCACGCAUCAUGCGAGCUCCAAUCAUCAUGUUCCGAUCUGCCCUCCCGAAGGAGGAACAGGUUUAUCGACUUUAAGAGCCCAAGGAGUUCUUGAGGGUCUUUGGACUGCAAGAGCUGGGGUCAGAGGCCGGAAGCCUGUAACUCCCUCCCAGGCGACCCAGCCGCUGGAGGCAGCCAAGGUGCUGAAGUCCUGCCCCUGCAGUGUCCCCGCCCCCACCCAGCCCGGGACACUGAGACACGUGCUACAGCAACGAUCAGGGGCCUCCCCUUCCAGCUCAGUCUUUCCGGACUCAAAGUCAUGACUCCUGAGGAACAGCUGCAGAGAAGGUGGGGGUCCCCUCCCCUACCAACCUCUCAGAGAAAAGCACAACAGAUGGGCAAAAAUGGGGAAGGUCUACAAAGAAGGGUCAGCAAAGCUCAGGGAGGGAUGGGCUCUGCCUCCCCAAUUCAAGUCUCUUUAUGUUUGUUGCUGAUAAAAUGGAGAUAAUUAUG
Long non-coding RNA from Neogale vison (American mink), 1044 nucleotides. RefSeq lists it as uncharacterized. The transcript is spliced from 2 exons. The record is from RefSeq and is a predicted model, not a curated record. NCBI's taxonomy places the organism in Eukaryota, Metazoa, Chordata, Mammalia, Carnivora, Mustelidae.